AGGGUGCAGGGCGGAUGCCUUGGCACUAGGAGCCGAUGAAGGACGUGAUAAGCUGCGAUAAGCUUCGGGGAGUUGCACGUAAACUUUGAUCCGAAGAUUUCCGAAUGAGGAAACUCACUUAGAGUAAUGUCUAAGUAUCAUUAAGUGAAUACAUAGCUUAAUGAGGGGAACUCAGGGAACUGAAACAUCUAAGUACCUGAAGGAAGAGAAAGAAAUUCGAUUCCGUAAGUAGCGGCGAGCGAACGCGGAUUAGCCCAAACCAAUAAAGUUUUCUUUAUUGGGGUUGCGGACAUAUCAUAACGAAGAGGUAUCGUAAUUGAAGAGGUUUGGAAAGACCCACCACAGAAGGUAAUAGUCCUGUAUGUUAAACGAGAAGACUUUAGAUAUGAUCCAGAGUACCACGGGACACGUGAAACCCUGUGGGAAGCAGGAGGGACCACCCUCCAAGGCUAAAUACUACCUAGUGACCGAUAGCGUAUAGUACCGUGAGGGAAAGGUGAAAAGAACCCCGGGAGGGGAGUGAAAUAGAACCUGAAACCCUGCACUUACAAGCUGUGGAAGCACAUUUCUUGUGUGACCGCGUACUUUUUGUAGAACGGGCCAACGAGUUACGUUAAGUAGCAAGGUUAAGCACUUAAGGUGCGGAGCCGUAGCGAAAGCGAGUUUUAACUGAGCGUUCAGUUACUUGACGUAGACCCGAAACCGGGCGACCUACCCAUGAGCAGGAUGAAGCGAAAGUAAAAUUUCGUGGAGGUCCGAACCCACGAGCGUUGAAAAGCUCGGGGAUGACUUGUGGGUAGCGGUGAAAUUCCAAUCGAGCCCGGAGAUAGCUGGUUCUCCCCGAAAUAGCUUUAGGGCUAGCCUCAAGGUGAGAGAUACGGAGGUAGAGCACUGAAUGUCCUAGGGGGUAUUGCACCUACCGAAGACUAUCAAACUCCGAAUGCCGUCAUCUUAUACUUGGGAGUCAGACUGUGGGUGAUAAGAUUCAUAGUCGAAAGGGCAACAGCCCAGAUCGUCAGCUAAGGUCCCUAAAUGUAAGUUAAGUGGUAAAGGAUGUGGGAUUGCACAGACAACCAGGAUGUUGGCUUAGAAGCAGCCACUCAUUCAAAGAGUGCGUAAUAGCUCACUGGUCGAGUGAUCCUGCGCCGAAGAUUUCCGGGGCUAAAACUUACUACCGAAGCUACGGCAUCAGUAAUGAUGGGUAGGGGAGCUUCCCAUACGGGUUGAAGCAUGACCGUAAGGACAUGUGGACAGUAUGGGAGUGAGAAUGUUGGCAUGAGUAGCGAGAUGUGGGUGAGAAUCCCACAGGCCGUAAACCCAAGGUUUCCAGGGGAAGGUUCGUCCGCCCUGGGUUAGUCGGGACCUAAGCUGAGGCCGAAAGGCGUAGGUGAUGGACAACAGGUUGAUAUUCCUGUACUACCGAUAACCGUUUGAGAGAAGGGAUGACACAGUAGGAUAAGCUAAGCACACUGUUGGUUAUGUGUGCCCAAGCAUUGAGGCAGUCAAAGUAGGCAAAUCCGCUUUGAUAAUGCUGGGAUGUGAUGGGGAGCGAAAUUUAGUAGCGAAGUAGCUGAUUUCACACUGUCAAGAAAAGUCUCUAUCGAGGUUAAAGGUACCCGUACCGCAAACCGACACAGGUGGGUGAGGAGAGUAUCCUAAGGCCAGCGAGAGAACUGUUGUUAAGGAACUCGGCAAAAUGACCCCGUAACUUAGGGAUAAGGGGUGCCACCAUCAGGUGGCCGCAGAGAAUAGGCCCAAGCGACUGUUUACCAAAAACAUAGGUUUCUGCUAAGUCGCAAGACGAUGUAUAGGAGCUGACGCCUGCCCGGUGCUGGAAGGUUAAGGGGAUCUGUUAGAGCAAUCGAAGCAGUGAACUUAAGCCCCAGUAAACGGCGGCCGUAACUAUAACGGUCCUAAGGUAGCGAAAUUCCUUGUCGGGUAAGUUCCGACCCGCACGAAAGGCGUAACGAUUUGGGCACUGUCUCAACAACAGACUCGGUGAAAUUGUAAUUCCGGUGAAGAUGCCGGAUACCUGCGACAGGACGGAAAGACCCCAUGGAGCUUUACUGUAGCUUGACAUUGGGUCUUGGUACUACAUGUACAGGAUAGGUGGGAGGCUUUGAAACCAGGACGCCAGUUUUGGCGGAGCCAUCCUUGGGAUACCACCCUUGUAGUACUGGGACUCUAACCAUAGGCCAUGAAUCUGGUCUUGGGACACUGUCAGGUGGGCAGUUUGACUGGGGCGGUCGCCUCCCAAAAGGUAACGGAGGCGCUCAAAGGUUCUCUCAGUACGGUCGGAAAUCGUACGUAGAGUGUAAAGGCAAAAGAGAGCUUGAUUGCAAGACAUACAGGUCGAGCAAGGAUGAAAAUCGGACUUAGUGAUCCGGUGGUUCUGCGUGGAAGGGCCAUCGCUCAACGGAUAAAAGCUACCCUGGGGAUAACAGGCUUAUCUCCCCCAAGAGUCCACAUCGACGGGGAGGUUUGGCACCUCGAUGUCGGCUCAUCACAUCCUGGGGCUGUAGUAGGUCCCAAGGGUUGGGCUGUUCGCCCAUUAAAGUGGUACGCGAGCUGGGUUCAGAACGUCGUGAGACAGUUCGGUCCCUAUCCGUCGCAGGCGUAGGAAAUUUGAGAAGACCUGUCCUUAGUACGAGAGGACCGGGAUGGA
RNAcentral lists this ribosomal RNA (2665 nucleotides) under Clostridioides difficile. Its description in RNAcentral is "bacterial LSU rRNA". It matches the Rfam family "Bacterial large subunit ribosomal RNA". The record is from RNAcentral. Lineage: Bacteria; Bacillati; Bacillota; Clostridia; Peptostreptococcales; Peptostreptococcaceae.